Long non-coding RNA from Austrofundulus limnaeus, 1784 nucleotides. RefSeq lists it as uncharacterized. The record is from RefSeq and is a predicted model, not a curated record. The transcript has 3 exons. NCBI's taxonomy places the organism in Eukaryota, Metazoa, Chordata, Actinopteri, Cyprinodontiformes, Rivulidae.
AGGAGCAUCUAAGAGCAACUUGUUUUGUUUGACAUUGAAUCAGGUCCAUUGCACCUGUGAAAAUGAAGGAAUAUGAAGUAAAAGCUAGCAGAAUAAGCAGCAGCACAUGUCUCUGCACCUGAAGCCUUUGUUUUAUUUGGCUGCAGAAUGUGGGUGAGUAAACCUUAAUUCAAGUUAAAUAUUCUAAGAGAAACUGACGAAUUGGAAACAUGUUUUUACUUAAAAUGCCUAUUACUAGCAUCCAGUGUGGAAUUUAGUUCUGUUCAGAACAUUGUGUCAUGACAUUACCGGUGAGAGGUCAUAUUGUUGUGGCUCAUCAGUGCAUCUGUUUCAUUGCUGUCAGUCAGAUGAGGCGAUCAAAACCACUUUCAGACCUGUGGGUUAAAGAGCUGCAGUGUUGUUGAUCUUCUCAUCCAACUCCCAACAAGAAGAGCUGGAAUCAGGGGGUGAAGCCAGCACUCAGAUGGGCCAAAACCUGCUCCAUGAAUUGUAGCCCUGCCAGCUCCUGAGAGGCUCUUCGGUUUCCACUCUGACUGCUUGUUUUGAUUUGGGCUCUUAAAGUAAUCUACAAUAACGUCAACAUUUGCCUUCCUAUUGCCACGUGGUCGACCGCACUGCCAUUGUGUUGAAAUUAGCGGCCCUUCCAGGCGCUAACAGACCUCUUCCAUUUAAAAUAAACACUCCACUUGAAUUUCUCUAACAGCAUAUGCUUGCCAAAAAAACAAAACAAAACCAAAAAAACUGGUUUCUCCGAUUAUUACAGCAUCGAGGAGACAAACAGGAGCAAAGGCCUCAACAGCACCUGAAGUGAGCACAUGGAGGAGUCAGAGGGAGCGAAGGGGAGAUAAGACGUUUUUCUUCUCCUAGUGGGUCCAGUGGGUCCAGUGAUAGCAGAGGUCCUCUGGUUUGGCCCGGCUCGAUAAGACUGGUCUUGCCAUCCUGUGGGGCUUAUCAGCUGCUGCAGUGAGUCUCAACAGUUAGUCCCAGAGACAGAAAAUGUUUACGCGUUUGGCGUCUGUUUGGCGACUUCAACUGUAUUUGGAUGUAAAACGAGAAAAAAAACUGUUAUAGAUUUUAACUUUCUAGAUUGCAUCGCUAAAACUCAGUUAAAUCAAUAAGAAAAUUUACAUUUUAUGCAAGGAAAAAAAAACAAUGUGAAUGUUGAGUGCCGAAAACUGAAAGUAGCAAAACACCAGCUAAAAACUAAAAAAGUAGCUAAUGGCAGCAACAUGUUCACCAAAACCUAACCUCAAGAAGUGAGCUAAAGUAGCAACAGACUAGCUAAAAGAUAAAACUAACCAAAGGGCAGUUUAAUAAAUUGGCUGUUUCAAAAUAAAGCCUGAACAAAAGAACAGUCGAGGAAAAAUAAAAGAAGAAAAUAAGCUGGCGGAAGCAGAAAAACAGGCAUUUUUACAGACAGGAAGUCGAACAGAGAUUAGUUACAUCACUGAGUCCAGACUGAAGACAGUUCAUUUAGUCUCUGCUGUUAUCUCCCAUCAUCAACAGUCUCUUUGGAUCAGAAACAGGAUGCAGACAAAACUAGAGCUUCAUCUGUCUGAAACCGACAGAAGACAUCAGGCCUUAAUGCGGAAAAGUUUAUUUAUUUUUCCUUAUUUCAGCUGAUUCAAAUUAAAUGCUCAAUAAGAGAAAUUAACUUCUACAAAUUUUCACUGGAAAAAAACAAAUUGAAAAGCUUUUUUGUAUCAAUAUUACCAUAAAUAUUUUUAUUUUUGUUAAUAAAAAGGACAUUUUUUGCACAGUCUUUGAAAAGGAGCACUAAUUUA